AAUUGCCUUAACAAAUCUUUAUCAUUAAUAAGUUUCAGUGCCCUCAGAGGCAAAGCGCACAAUCAGAAUAUAGAUAUCAAUGUCGGAUUCGAGAUUAAAUUUCAAUUAAAAUUAGUGUACCAGUAGAAUUAUUAUAAGAAUGUUUUGUAAUCAUUGUGGGGUAAAAACUGAUGAUGACGCCAAUUUCUGCCCAAAGUGUGGCAAAAGCACCAGCUCCGGAAACUGUACAGGUACAGUACAAGAGGAAAUAAAUGGAUCAGAUGAACUUCUUCAGCAAGGUACAGCACAAGAGAAAAUACAUGGAUCAGAUGAACUUCUUCAGCAAGACCGGACAAGAGCAGUUGUAUUACCGAAACAGAUGAAUUGCACUCAUGGUAAAAAUUGUUUAUUCUAA
This is a long non-coding RNA of Dreissena polymorpha, 394 nucleotides long. RefSeq lists it as uncharacterized. The record is from RefSeq and is a predicted model, not a curated record. Lineage: Eukaryota; Metazoa; Mollusca; Bivalvia; Myida; Dreissenidae. The transcript is spliced from 5 exons.